RNAcentral lists this long non-coding RNA (1028 nucleotides) under Oryctolagus cuniculus (rabbit). RNAcentral's name for it is "lncRNA (ENSOCUG00000031746.1)". The record is from RNAcentral. Lineage: Eukaryota; Metazoa; Chordata; Mammalia; Lagomorpha; Leporidae.
CUAAAACGUUCAGUCUCUUUAGCUGUAGUGUGUGAAAAGGUACCAUGUCAAGAAUGUUCAGUUUCAUCUUUAAGUUUUUCAGAAGUAACGUUGAAAAGACCCCUAAAUAGAUUUAAGUAGAUAAUAUGAAAAGAAGAAACAGUUAUUUAAAAAAAUAAAACCCAGAGGAACAUUUUUGGAGAGAUGUCCUAGUCUCAUCAAAAUUUUGACUUUAAACACACCACUUCCAGUAAUUUUUAUGGCUUAAUACUCUUUUAAGCACAACAAAAAGGGGAAGGUGAUAUAACUGAUAAAGCAAAAACUUCAUGUUCAGAUAUCCCUUGAUGAUACUGCAUGCUCUGACACAGUUUCAUAACCAUUUCUAUUACAUUUUGCUUAUUUUCUCCUCUAGCCACAAUUUCUGUAUCUUGCCUUUAAAAUUAGAAAUGGUAUGUAAAUUACCUAGAAAAUAUGUGGUCCUCAAGAAACUCAUUAUCAACUACAGCAGAAGCAUAAUAAAUCCUAAGAUGAAGGAUAAAGCCAGCUAUAUCCACUUAUAUGGCCAAGAUAAAAAUCCCUACAACCCCAAGGGAGGACACAACCGUGUAAUCACCUUCUCGAGAGAGUGAUCUUAUAAAGCAUUAAUUUAACUUAAAACUGCAACUUAACAAUAGAUAUAAGCAACCUCAGUAGUAUAAUGGUGAAACUUGAUCAUCACUGCUUAUGACAGAAGGAGCAACAUUGACAAAAAAAUAACAAUAUCAGGAAGGGGCAAUGAGGUAAGUUGAUUUACUGAUGCUAUCCUGUACUUUUUUUUCUUCCUUUUUUAUGCUACCUAGUUUAUUUCAUUGUAUCCACUUUAUCAGUGUUUUUAUUUUAAUUUUUAAUUAGUUUUUAACAGGUUCAAUGUGAUUUGUAGAUACAAUCCUAAGAACAUAAUGAUAUUUCUCCUUCCUCCUUCCUACCCUCUUUCUUUUUCUCAUUCUUUUUAGCUUUUGUUUAACAUAUAUUAAAAUUAUAUGACAAUAAAAAGGUCUAAUAUUUAGCCA